This 429-nucleotide ribosomal RNA is filed under the name Chloroflexota bacterium. RNAcentral's name for it is "Chloroflexi bacterium partial 16S ribosomal RNA". It matches the Rfam family "Bacterial small subunit ribosomal RNA", at positions 355 to 776 of the family's 1533-position model. The record is from RNAcentral. Lineage: Bacteria; Bacillati; Chloroflexota. RNAcentral also lists the same sequence under 1 other name.
UAGGGAAUCUUCGGCAAUGGACGAAAGUCUGACCGAGCAACGCCGCGUGAGUGAAGAAGGUUUUCGGAUCGUAAAACUCUGUUGUUAGAGAAGAACAAGGACGUUAGUAACUGAACGUCCCCUGACGGUAUCUAACCAGAGAGCCACGGCUAACUACGUGCCAGCAGCCGCGGUAAUACGUAGGUGGCAAGCGUUGUCCGGAUUUAUUGGGCGUAAAGCGAGCGCAGGCGGUUUCUUAAGUCUGAUGUGAAAGCCCCCGGCUCAACCGGGGAGGGUCAUUGGAAACUGGGAGACUUGAGUGCAGAAGAGGAGAGUGGAAUUCCAUGUGUAGCGGUGAAAUGCGUAGAUAUAUGGAGGAACACCAGUGGCGAAGGCGGCUCUCUGGUCUGUAACUGACGCUGAGGCUCGAAAGCGUGGGGAGCAAACAGG